Molecule: long non-coding RNA, 614 nt
Filed under: Monodelphis domestica (gray short-tailed opossum)
Lineage: Eukaryota; Metazoa; Chordata; Mammalia; Didelphimorphia; Didelphidae
Description: lncRNA (ENSMODG00000049361.1)
Source: RNAcentral
GUUCAAUGAGAUUUGCUACUUCUUACUAUAUUACCAAACAUUUUUUUUCAGGCUCUGAUAUCUACUUUCUGUGUCUAUUUUCAAAAAAUAUCUAAGUUGGUUAGCAAGUGUAAUUUCUAAUGUGCCACAUCAGUUGUGAUCCAAAGCCUCAGGUAACACAUCUGAUACAUUGGUUUUGUGAUCUUGGUGGUUACUUUAAUUUUCUCAGCCCAUGUUUCUUCAUUUAUAAAAUGGGAUGGGGUGGAUUUAACAGCUUUAUUAGCAUAGGAACUUGAUGCAAUUAGCAGUCUCUUCCACAAACUUCAGCAUCUGAGGAACCCAUAAGUAAUCUCUUGUCUAAUUCCAUUCUUCAUUGGACACCUUCCUGGACAAUGGCCAAGACCUUGGGGAAGUAUAGAAUGAUGUCUCUCCUGGAGAAGAAGAGCACAGCACCUCCAUUGAUGUGGUCAUGCCAUGCUGGACAGUCUUAUGCCAGUGACUUCCAUGGCACAGAACUGAUGCUAAAGUUCUUCAGAGAGGCUUUGAGCAUAUUCUUGUAUCACUUCUGACCUUGUGAGUGCUUAUCUUGUGUGAGUUAAUGCAUUAGAUAAACUCUGCUUAUUAUUUUUUCACUG